AGAGUUUGAUCCUGGCUCAGGAUGAACGCUGGCGGUAUGCUUAACACAUGCAAGUCGUACGGGAAAAUUUAUUUUCCUAGUGGCGGACGGGUGCGUAACACGUAAGAACCUACCUUUUGGAGGGGGAUAACAUCGGGAAACUGAUGCUAAUACCCCGUAAUAGCUGAGGAGUGAAAGCGGUUUUCCGCGCCAAGAGAGGGGCUUGCGGCUGAUUAGCUAGUUGGUGGGGGUAACGGCCUCCCAAGGCCACGAUCAGUAGCUGGUUUGAGAGGACGAUCAGCCACACUGGGACUGAGACACGGCCCAGACUCCUACGGGAGGCAGCAGUGAGGAAUUUUCCACAAUGGGCGAAAGCCUGAUGGAGCAAUACCGCGUGGAGGAAGAAGGUUCGUGGAUCGUAAACUCCUUUUCUCAGAGAAGAAGAUCUGACGGUAUCUGAGGAAUAAGCUCCGGCUAACUUUGUGCCAGCAGCCGCGGUAAUACAAGGGGAGCAAGCGUUAUCCGGAAUGAUUGGGCGUAAAGCGUCUGUAGGUGGUUCUUUAAGUCUACUGUCAAAUACGUUGGCUCAACCAACGGCAGGCAGUAGAGUACUAAAG
RNAcentral lists this ribosomal RNA (596 nucleotides) under uncultured bacterium. RNAcentral's name for it is "bacterial SSU rRNA". It matches the Rfam family "Bacterial small subunit ribosomal RNA", at positions 8 to 638 of the family's 1533-position model. The record is from RNAcentral.